GCGCUUAACACAUGCAAGUCGCACGAGAAAGUGGAGCAAUCCAUGAGUACAGUGGCGUACGGGUGAGUACACGUGGAUCAUCUACCUCUUAGUGGGGAAUAACCUGGGAAACCGGGGCUAAUACCGCAUAAGCUCGAGAGAGGAAAGCAGCAAUGCGCUGAGAGAGGAGUCCGCGGCCGAUUAGCUAGUUGGCAGGUAAACGCCUACCAAGGCAAAGAUCGGUAGCCGGCCUGAGAGGGCACACGGCCACACCGGCACUGAAACACGGGCCAG
Molecule: ribosomal RNA, 273 nt
Filed under: uncultured bacterium
Lineage: Bacteria
Description: partial 16S ribosomal RNA
Rfam family: Bacterial small subunit ribosomal RNA
Source: RNAcentral